GUACCCCCAGGGCCACCAAGUACCCCCAGAGGUGCCCCCAGGGCAGGUGUGGGCAAUGGGGGGCAGGUGAAGGCACCUGGCCCCUCCUGGGCUGGAGACCCCAAAAACCCCUCCUGGCCACAGCCCAGCACCCCCUGGUCCAGUUGUGCACCCCCAGAGCAGGAGCCACCAUGGGACAGCCAAGGGUGGGGCCGGACCCCAAAUGUGGGUCCUGACCCCAAAGGUGACUCCUGACCCCAAAGGUUGGUCCUCACCCCAAAUGUGGGUCCUGACCCCAAAUGUGGGUCCUGAUCCCAAGGGUUGGGUCCAACCCCAAGGGUGACUCCUGACCCCAAAGGUGACUCCUGACCCAAAUGUGGGUCCUGACCCCAAAGGUGACUCCUGACCCCAAAGGUGACUCCUGACCCAAAUGCGGGUCCUGACCCCAAAGGUUGGUCCCGACCCCAAAUGUGGGUCCUGACCCCAAGGGUUGGUCCCAACCCCAAAGGUGACUCCUGACCCCAAAUGUGGGUCCUGACCCCAAAUGUGGGUCCUGACCCCAAAUGUGGGUCCCGACCCCAAAUGUGGGUCCCGACCCCCACUCCCAGCCCCAGCCUCCACCCCAGAGUGCUGUGGGUGAGCUCCCCCGGUUCCUACCAGCAGAGGUACCGUGCUGCUUCUCUGUUGCUGUUUUUUAACAUUUAUCUCUACCAAAAGAAGUGUCUACGCUGCAGGAUGGAGGAGGCUGAAGGAUAAUUAAUUAACAUUAAUUAAUGCUAAAUAUUGCAGGAUACAACUGACCUUGCUGGCUGGUUGAAGCCCUAGGUUUUGGAUUUACAGUGACAUGGAUAACAAGCCAUUCCCAGAUUUAUCCUCUCCCCUUUGGUGAGGUCCAGAGCAGCAUUUUGGAAUUUUUGUUCUGUUUCAGUGUGCAAAAAACCAUGGCUGUAUGGAAAAGAAAGUCAAAGUUGUUAAACAGACACACACAAUUCAUUCACCUGCUUGUUCUCUUGGGGGAUUUUGUGGUUUUAGAGUUACACUGAGGUUUUGUCGGGGUUAUUUUUUUGUUGUUGUUUUUCUUCUACUGGCAGGUUUAUGGAAGAUUCUCUAUGAACUGGGAGUACUGGUGCCGGGCAGGAGCA
This is a non-coding RNA of Zonotrichia albicollis (white-throated sparrow), 1121 nucleotides long. Lineage: Eukaryota; Metazoa; Chordata; Aves; Passeriformes; Passerellidae. The record is from RefSeq and is a predicted model, not a curated record.